AUACGGAGGGUGCGAGCGUUAAUCGGAAUUACUGGGCGUAAAGCGUACGUAGGCGGUUCGUUAAGUUAGAUGUGAAAGCCCCGGGCUUAACCUGGGAACUGCAUUUAAAACUGGCGGACUAGAGUUGAGUAGAGGGGAGUGGAAUUUCAGGUGUAGCGGUGAAAUGCGUAGAGAUCUGAAGGAACACCAGUGGCGAAGGCGACUCCCUGGACUCGAACUGACGCUGAGGUACGAAAGCGUGGGUAGCAAACGGGAUUAGAAACCCGGGUAGUCC
This 274-nucleotide ribosomal RNA is filed under the name uncultured bacterium. RNAcentral describes it as "partial 16S ribosomal RNA". It matches the Rfam family "Bacterial small subunit ribosomal RNA", at positions 523 to 796 of the family's 1533-position model. The record is from RNAcentral.